CGCUACAAGCCCAGGGUAAGGGUAAAUUUUCUUCGACAUAUGCAACAAUAGUCUGACCGACAAUGCCGCGUGAGAGAAGAAGUUUUCAGAUCGAUAAAUCUCUGUGUAGAGAAGCACSAAGGUACGUUAGUAACUGAAUCGUCCUCUCGACGGUAUCUAACCAGAAAAGCGACGGUAACUACGUUACCAGCAGCGGCGGUAUACGUAGGUGGCAAGCGUUGUCCGGAUUUUAUUGGGCGUAAAGCGAGCGCAGGCGGUUUCUUAAGUUUGAUGUGAAAGCCCCCCGCUUCACCCGGGGAGGGUCAUUGGAAACUGGGAGACUUGAGUGCAGAAGAGGAGAGUGGAAUUCCAUGUGUAGCGGUGAAAUGCGAAGAUAUAUGGAGGAACACCAGUGGCGAAGGCGGCUCUUUGGUCUGUAACUGACGUUGAGGCUCGAAAGCGUGGGGAGCAAACAGGAUUAGAUACCCUGGUAGUCCACGCCGUAAACGAUGAGUGCUAAGUGUGGGAGGGUUUCCCCCCUUCAGUGCUGCAGCAAACGCAUUAAGCACUCCGCCUGGGGAGUACGACCGCAAGGUUGAAACUCAAAGGAAUUGACGGGGGCCCGCACAAGCGGUGGAGCAUGUGGUUUAAUUCGAAGCAACGCGAAGAACCUUACCAGGUCUUGACAUCCUUUGACCACUCUAGAGAUAGAGCUUUCCCUUCGGGGACAAAGUGACAGGUGGUGCAUGGUUGUCGUCAGCUCGUGUCGUGAGAUGUUGGGUUAAGUCCCGCAACGAGCGCAACCCUUAUUGUUAGUUGCCAUCAUUUAGUUGGGCACUCUAGCGAGACUGCCGGUGACAAACCGGAGGAAGGUGGGGAUGACGUCAAAUCAUCAUGCCCCUUAUGACCUGGGCUACACACGUGCUACAAUGGGAAGUACAACGAGUCGCUAGACCGCGAGGUCAUGCAAAUCUCUUAAAGCUUCUCUCAGUUCGGAUUGCAGUCUGCAACUCGCCUGCAUGAAGCCGGAAUCGCUAGUAAUCGCGGAUCAGCACGCCGCGGUGAAUACGUUCCCGGGCCUUGUACACACCGCCCGUCACACCACGAGAGUUUGUAACACCCGAAGUCGGUGAGGUAACCUUUUGGGAGCCAGCCCSSCCUA
This 1141-nucleotide ribosomal RNA is filed under the name Enterococcus faecium. RNAcentral describes it as "bacterial SSU rRNA". It matches the Rfam family "Bacterial small subunit ribosomal RNA", at positions 327 to 1460 of the family's 1533-position model. The record is from RNAcentral. Lineage: Bacteria; Bacillati; Bacillota; Bacilli; Lactobacillales; Enterococcaceae.